CCAACCUGCCGUCUACUCUUGGCCAGCCUUCUGAAAGGAAGAUUAAUCCAGGAUGGCAUCAUGAGUUCACAUGUCCGCAUGAUUAAAGGUAUUUUCCGGUAGACGAUGGGGAUGCGUUCCAUUAGAUAGUAGGCGGGGUAACGGCCCACCUAGUCAACGAUGGAUAGGGGUUCUGAGAGGAAGGUCCCCCACAUUGGAACUGAGACACGGUCCAA
RNAcentral lists this ribosomal RNA (215 nucleotides) under uncultured bacterium. RNAcentral's name for it is "partial 16S ribosomal RNA". It matches the Rfam family "Bacterial small subunit ribosomal RNA", at positions 121 to 334 of the family's 1533-position model. The record is from RNAcentral.